GACGAACGCUGGCGGCGUGCCUAAUACAUGCAAGUUGAGCGCUGAAGGUUGGUACUUGUACCAACUGGAUGAGCAGCGAACGGGUGAGUACCGCGUGGGGAAUCUGCCUUUGAGCGGGGGACAACAUUUGGAAACGAAUGCUAAUACCGCAUAAAAACUUUAAACACAAGUUUUAAGUUUGAAAGAUGCAAUUGCAUCACUCAAAGAUGAUCCCGCGUUGUAUUAGCUAGUUGGUGAGGUAAAGGCUCACCAAGGCGAUGAUACAUAGCCGACCUGAGAGGGUGAUCGGCCACAUUGGGACUGAGACACGGCCCAAACUCCUACGGGAGGCAGCAGUAGGGAAUCUUCGGCAAUGGACGAAAGUCUGACCGAGCAACGCCGCGUGAGUGAAGAAGGUUGUCGGAUCGUAAAACUCGGUUGGUAGAGAAGAACGUUGGUGAGAGUGGAAAGCUCAUCAAGUGACGGUAACUACCCAGAAAGGGACGGCUAACUACGUG
RNAcentral lists this ribosomal RNA (497 nucleotides) under uncultured bacterium. Its description in RNAcentral is "partial 16S ribosomal RNA". It matches the Rfam family "Bacterial small subunit ribosomal RNA", at positions 28 to 507 of the family's 1533-position model. The record is from RNAcentral.